CAAGUCGAACGCGAAAGUCCCGCAAGGGAUCAGUAGAGUGGCAAACGGGUGAGUAACGCGUGGGUGACCUGCCUUCGAGCGGGGGAUAACGUUCCGAAAGGGACGCUAAUACCGCAUAACAUCCCGCCUUUUAAGAGGUGGCGAUCAAAGCCUGGGACCGCAAGGCCAGGUGCUUGAAGAGGGGCCCGCGUCUGAUUAGCUAGUUGGUGGGGUAAUGGCUCACCAAGGCUUCGAUCAGUAUCCGGCCUGAGAGGGCGGACGGACACACUGGGACUGAGACACGGCCCAGACUCCUACGGGAGGCAGCAGUGGGGAAUUGUUCGCAAUGGGCGCAAGCCUGACGACGCAACGCCGCGUGGAGGAUGAAGAUCUUCGGGUCGUAAACUCCUUUCGAUCGAGACGAAUGGCUUCCGGGUGAAUAAUCCGGGAGAGUGACGGUACCGAGAGAAGAAGCCCCGGCUAACUCCGUGCCAGCAGCCGCGGUAAUACGGGGGGGGCAAGCGUUGUUCGGAAUUACUGGGCGUAAAGGGCUCGUANGUGGCCAACUAAGUCAGACGUGAAAUCCCUCGGCUUAACCGGGGAACUGCGUCUGAUACUGGUUGGCUUGAGUUUGGGAGAGGGACGCGGAAUUCCAGGUGUAGCGGUGAAAUGCGUAGAUUUCUGGAGGAACACCGGUUGGCGAAGGCGGCGUCCUGGACCAACACUGACACUGAUGAGCGAAAGCCAGGGGAGCAAACGGGAUUAGAUACCCCGGGUAGUCCUGGCCCUAAACGAUGAAUGCUUGGUGUGGCGGGUAUCGAUUCCCUGCCGUGCCGAA
Molecule: ribosomal RNA, 817 nt
Filed under: uncultured Pseudomonadota bacterium
Lineage: Bacteria; Pseudomonadati; Pseudomonadota
Description: bacterial SSU rRNA
Rfam family: Bacterial small subunit ribosomal RNA
Source: RNAcentral